AGAGUUUGAUCAUGGCUCAGGAUGAACGCUGGCGGCGUGCUUAACACAUGCAAGUCGAACGAGAGAAGAUCGGUGCUUGCACUGAUCCGAUCGAGUGGCGGACGGGUGAGUAACGCGUGGGUAACCUGCCUCAUACAGGGGAAUAACAGUUGGAAACGGCUGCUAAAACCGCAUAAGCGCACAGUAUCGCAUGAUACAGUGUGAAAAACUCCGGUGGUAUGAGAUGGACCCGCGUCUGAUUAGCUAGUUGGUGAGGUAACGGCCACCAAGGCAACGAUCAGUAGCCGGCCUGAGAGGGUGAACGGCCACAUUGGGACUGAGACACGGCCCAAACGUCCUACGGGAGGCCA
This 350-nucleotide ribosomal RNA is filed under the name uncultured bacterium. Its description in RNAcentral is "bacterial SSU rRNA". It matches the Rfam family "Bacterial small subunit ribosomal RNA", at positions 8 to 350 of the family's 1533-position model. The record is from RNAcentral.